Homo sapiens (human) is the source of this 160-nucleotide long non-coding RNA. RefSeq lists it as uncharacterized. The transcript has 3 exons. NCBI's taxonomy places the organism in Eukaryota, Metazoa, Chordata, Mammalia, Primates, Hominidae. The record is from RefSeq and is a predicted model, not a curated record.
CGCGAGUAGCUGGGAAGCUGGGAUUACAGGCAUGAGCCACUGGACCAGGUCGAAAUCUACUUCUCUGGAUGAAAACUGAGGCACAUGGAAGUUGACCUUUAAACAACAUGGGUUUGAACUGCCUGGAUCUACUCACACAGGGAUUUUCUUCAGCCUCUGU